RNAcentral lists this ribosomal RNA (265 nucleotides) under uncultured bacterium. Its description in RNAcentral is "partial 16S ribosomal RNA". It matches the Rfam family "Bacterial small subunit ribosomal RNA", at positions 88 to 354 of the family's 1533-position model. The record is from RNAcentral.
CCGGCGACCGGCGCACGGGUGAGUAACACGUAUGCAACCUGCCCUCUUCAGGGGGACAACCUUCCGAAAGGGAGGCUAAUCCCGCGUAUAUCGGUUUCGGGCAUCCGAGAUCGAGGAAAGAUUCAUCGGAAGAGGAUGGGCAUGCGGCGCAUUAGCUAGACGGCGGGGUAACGGCCCACCGCGGCGACGAUGCGUAGGGGUUCUGAGAGGAAGGUCCCCCACACUGGUACUGAGACACGGACCAGACUCCUACGGAAGGCAGCAG